Molecule: ribosomal RNA, 420 nt
Filed under: bacterium
Lineage: Bacteria
Description: partial 16S ribosomal RNA
Rfam family: Bacterial small subunit ribosomal RNA
Source: RNAcentral
UGGGGGAUAUUGCACAAUGGGCGAAAGCCUGAUGCAGCGACGCCGCGUGGGGGAUGAAGGCUUUCGGGUUGUAAACCUCUUUCGCUAUCGAACAAGGCCCGCUUAGGGUGGGUUGAGGGUAGGUGGAGAAGAAGCGCCGGCUAACUACGUGCCUGCAGCCGCGGUAAUACGUAGGGCGCGAGCGUUGUCCGGAAUUAUUGGGCGUAAAGGGCUUGUAGGCGGCUUGUUGCGCCUGCUGUGAAAACGCGGGGCUUAACUUCGCGCGUGCAGUGGGUACGGGCAGGCUUGAGUGUGGUAGGGGUGACUGGAAUUCCAGGUGUAGCGGUGGAAUGCGCAGAUAUCUGGAGGAACACCGAUGGCGAAGGCAGGUCACUGGGCCAUUACUGACGCUGAGGAGCGAAAGCAUGGGUAGCGAACAGG